AGACGGCGUGGACGAGGUCAUCGAGCGUCCCCGUCAUCUCGGGAUCGUCGGUGAGCGCCCGCGCGACGGCGGCGGUGCAGGCCGUCGCCGGCUGC
RNAcentral lists this transfer RNA (95 nucleotides) under Rhodocyclaceae bacterium. RNAcentral describes it as "tRNA-Glu". Lineage: Bacteria; Pseudomonadati; Pseudomonadota; Betaproteobacteria; Rhodocyclales; Rhodocyclaceae. The record is from RNAcentral.